UAUUAAACAGUAUUCGCGUACAAAGAAUUUUGAAUUCUUAAGAAGGACAUUCACCUUUUAAUAA
RNAcentral lists this transfer RNA (64 nucleotides) under Cipangopaludina longispira. RNAcentral describes it as "tRNA-Gln". The record is from RNAcentral. Lineage: Eukaryota; Metazoa; Mollusca; Gastropoda; Architaenioglossa; Viviparidae.